UUUUUUUUUUCUGGAUUUUAAUACAAACCUUAUUGAUUGGAAAUUCUCUUUCCAAUUAUCCUCUCCCUCAGUUUUUCCUAAUUAAACAAGUUCCUGGUGUGGAGCUACAUGAGGCCCUGAUGCUAUUGUGAAAUGCAGACCCCUUCGAUGGCCUGAUUGGAGCACAAAAGCAACUUGUGUUGCUGCCAGUUCUGCAGCCUCCUGUCUUUGUCUCCGCUGCUGCAAGAUACUGAUGGCCCAUGCCAUGAUGUAACAGGGUAAAAGAAAACCAGCUGCUCGUAGCAAGAAAAGAGAGAAAAAGGUAGACACAUCAUCAUCAUCUCCAUCAGCAUCUGUAACAAUCAAUGCAUGCCGCACGAGUAGAAGGGCCAUUAA
RNAcentral lists this unclassified non-coding RNA (375 nucleotides) under Hevea brasiliensis (rubber tree). Lineage: Eukaryota; Viridiplantae; Streptophyta; Magnoliopsida; Malpighiales; Euphorbiaceae. The record is from RNAcentral.